Long non-coding RNA from Drosophila willistoni, 655 nucleotides. RefSeq lists it as uncharacterized. NCBI's taxonomy places the organism in Eukaryota, Metazoa, Arthropoda, Insecta, Diptera, Drosophilidae. The transcript has 2 exons. The record is from RefSeq and is a predicted model, not a curated record.
AGCAUUUACAGACUACAUUCUUCUUAGUUGCUAAAAGUUGUUUUAAAAAUAAUUUUCAAAUUUUCUUUCCACCAAAUAACUUUUUCAAAAUUACAAAUUUCGCGCCCACUAACAUUUUCCAGCACUGAAAACGAUACUGCUUGAUAGUCGAUAAUUUAUCACUGACAAUCGAUAAGAAUCACCGCCACCGGCGAUAACAUGUUGUCAACUCUCUCAUAUUUACAUUAGGAAAAACAGCUGACUUUCAGAAUGUCAAAAAAAUUGGUAGAAAAUAUAUGCUGCGAAAUAGGGGAACAAAUGUGUGAAUCAAGACCAUGAACAUUUUGAAUUGGAAACCAUUGACGCAAUCAGAAUGAAUGCUAUCUGGAAAGGCAAUCUUGCCUGAGACAAUAGACGCAAUCAUGAACAGGUCGUCUGGAACAUCUUAAUGUUGCAAAGUAAUCUGAUGGGGAAGUAGCUGUGCUCCAAUUAUAAUCUUUACCAGAGAUCUGGAGUGGAAAUCGAUCUUGAUUUGGGUUAUUAAAUUAAAAGUUAUCUUUGUUAAGAACAUUAUACUUUUGCACAAAUGAUGUAAAUUCCUGGCAAGGACAAGCUCUUUUGUAGUUUUCUGCAGGAUUUUAAUAAAACUUUAUAAUUCUUUGGCUUAUGUAUAAAA